This is a non-coding RNA of Zymomonas mobilis subsp. pomaceae ATCC 29192, 98 nucleotides long. NCBI's taxonomy places the organism in Bacteria, Pseudomonadati, Pseudomonadota, Alphaproteobacteria, Sphingomonadales, Zymomonadaceae. The record is from Rfam.
AACGGAAGUCGAGCGGACGAUGCUGUCGCCAACCCGGUCAGAUCCGGAAGGAAGCAGCCGUAACGAAUUUGCGUCGGGUCGUUUCGGCUUCCACUCUU